GAGUAGUUAGUAUAAAAAGUAUCUGCGACUUCGGAUCACACGGUGGGGGUACCCUCACUACUCU
RNAcentral lists this transfer RNA (64 nucleotides) under Dreissena polymorpha. Its description in RNAcentral is "tRNA-Arg". The record is from RNAcentral. Lineage: Eukaryota; Metazoa; Mollusca; Bivalvia; Myida; Dreissenidae.